GACGAACGCUGGCGGCGUGCUUAACACAUGCAAGUCGAACGGAAAGGCCCUGCUUUGGUGGGGUGCUCGAGUGGCGAACGGGUGAGUAACACGUGAGUAACCUGCCCUUGACUUUGGGAUAACUUCAGGAAACUGGGGCUAAUACCGGAUAGGAGCUCCUGCUGCAUGGUGGGGGUUGGAAAGGUUCGGCGGUUGGGGAUGGACUCGCGGCUUAUCAGCUUGUUGGUGGGGUAGUGGCUUACCAAGGCUUUGACGGGUAGCCGGCCUGAGAGGGUGACCGGCCACAUUGGGACUGAGAUACGGGCCAGACUCCUACGGGAGGCAGCAGUGGGGAAUAUUGCACAAUGGGCGGAAGCCUGAUGCAGCAACGCCGCGUGCGGGAUGACGGCCUUCGGGUUGUAACCCGCUUUCGCCUGUGACGAAGCGUGAGUGACGGUAAUGGGUAAAGAAGCACCGGCUAACUACGUG
RNAcentral lists this ribosomal RNA (468 nucleotides) under uncultured bacterium. Its description in RNAcentral is "partial 16S ribosomal RNA". It matches the Rfam family "Bacterial small subunit ribosomal RNA", at positions 28 to 507 of the family's 1533-position model. The record is from RNAcentral.